UACGAAGGGGGCUAGCGUUGUUCGGAUUUACUGGGCGUAAAGCGCACGUAGGCGGAUUGUUAAGUCAGGGGUGAAAUCCCGGAGCUCAACUCCGGAACUGCCUUUGAUACUGGCAAUCUUGAGGCUGGAAGAGGUUAGUGGAAUUCCCAGUGUAGAGGUGAAAUUCGUAGAUAUCGAGAGGAACACCGGUGGCGAAGGCGGCCAACUGGACAGAUACUGACGCUGAGACACGAAAGCGUGGGGAGCAAACAGG
RNAcentral lists this ribosomal RNA (253 nucleotides) under uncultured bacterium. Its description in RNAcentral is "partial 16S ribosomal RNA". It matches the Rfam family "Bacterial small subunit ribosomal RNA", at positions 524 to 776 of the family's 1533-position model. The record is from RNAcentral.